Molecule: ribosomal RNA, 506 nt
Filed under: uncultured bacterium
Lineage: Bacteria
Description: partial 16S ribosomal RNA
Rfam family: Bacterial small subunit ribosomal RNA
Source: RNAcentral
AGUGAACGCUGGCGGUAGGCCUAACACAUGCAAGUCGAACGGCAGCACAGAGGAGCUUGCUCCUUGGGUGGCGAGUGGCGGACGGGUGAGGAAUACAUCGGAAUCUACUCUGUCGUGGGGGAUAACGUAGGGAAACUUACGCUAAUACCGCAUACGACCUACGGGUGAAAGCAGGGGAUCUUCGGACCUUGCGCGAUUGAAUGAGCCGAUGUCGGAUGAGCUAGUUGGCGGGGUAAAGGCCCACCAAGGCGACGAUCCGUAGCUGGUCUGAGAGGAUGAUCAGCCACACUGGAACUGAGACACGGUCCAGACUCCUACGGGAGGCAGCAGUGGGGAAUAUUGGACAAUGGGUGCAAGCCUGAUCCAGCCAUACCGCGUGGGUGAAGAAGGCCUUCGGGUUGUAAAGCCCUUUUGUUGGGAAAGAAAUCCAUCUGGCUAAUACCCGGGUGGGAUGACGGUACCCAAAGAAUAAGCACCGGCUAACUUCGUGCCAGCCGCCGCCGUAA